This 302-nucleotide ribosomal RNA is filed under the name Paravaejovis confusus. RNAcentral describes it as "partial 16S ribosomal RNA". Lineage: Eukaryota; Metazoa; Arthropoda; Arachnida; Scorpiones; Vaejovidae. The record is from RNAcentral.
UUUGAAAUUUAUAUUUUAGUAAAAAAGCUAAAAUUAUCUAUAGGGACGAGAAGACCCUAUCAAGUUUUACAAUCCAGAAUUUAUUUUCAAAUUAAAUUUAAAAUUGUUUUGCUGGGGCAGCAGAUAAAAAUUUUUUAUUUUAAAAUUAUGAUAAAUAAAUCUUGAAAAAUCAAAAAAUUUUUAAUUAAAAAUAAAUUACUGUAGGGAUAACAGCAUAAUUUUUUUAGAGAGUUCUUAUCAUCAAAAAAGUUUGUGACCUCGAUGUUGGAUUAAAAUUCCUAAUUCGUGCAAUAAUGAAAUAA